GAUGAACGCUGGCGGCGUGCCUAACACAUGCAAGUCGAACGGAGUCCAGCCUUAGAGACCUUCGGGUCAAAGAGGGGAAGACUGAGUGGCGGACGGGUGAGUAACACGUGGGCAACCUGGCUCAUAGAGGGGGAUAACAGAGAGAAAUUUCUGCUAAUACCGCAUAAGCACACACUGCCGCAUGGCAGAGUGUGAAAAGAGAAUCGCUAUGAGAUGGACCCGCGUCUGAUUAGCCAGGUGGCAGGGUAAGAGCCUACCAAAGCGACGAUCAGUAGCCGAUUUGAGAGGAUGAACGGCCACAUUGGGACUGAGACACGGCCCAAACUCCUACGGGAGGCAGCAGUGGGGGAUAUUGCACAAUGGGGGGAACCCUGAUGCAGCGACGCCGCGUGAGUGAAGAAGUAUUUCGGUAUGUAAAGCUCUAUCAGCAGGGAAGAUAAUGACAGUACCUGAAGAAGAAGCCCCGGCUAACUACGUG
This 478-nucleotide ribosomal RNA is filed under the name uncultured bacterium. RNAcentral describes it as "partial 16S ribosomal RNA". It matches the Rfam family "Bacterial small subunit ribosomal RNA", at positions 28 to 507 of the family's 1533-position model. The record is from RNAcentral.